GGAGAGGUGACCGAGAGGCCGAAGGUGCACGAUUGGAAAUCGUGUGUGCAGAAAUGUACCGGGAGUUCGAAUCUCCCCCUCUCCGCCA
This 88-nucleotide transfer RNA is filed under the name Nitrospinota bacterium. RNAcentral's name for it is "tRNA-Ser". It matches the Rfam family "tRNA". From Rfam's summary of the family: Transfer RNA (tRNA) molecules are approximately 80 nucleotides in length. Lineage: Bacteria; Pseudomonadati; Nitrospinota. The record is from RNAcentral.